Molecule: non-coding RNA, 46 nt
Organism: Eurypyga helias (sunbittern)
Lineage: Eukaryota; Metazoa; Chordata; Aves; Eurypygiformes; Eurypygidae
Source: Rfam
CCAAAGGCUCUUUUAAGAGCCACCCACGUACUCCAUAAAGGAGCUG